ACAGCAGCAGUACAGAAAUGUAGGUCACGACAGUACAACAGCGGUGUGUAGCGAUUGGUAGUUACAGAACUUGUUUUCUCUCAGUCUUUAGAUUUUUCGCCCUAACUUAUGCUAUUAGUUUGGAUCAAAUAAAUUUUCGAUUUAAGACCCUCUGCAAAAGAAACCCACCAUGCGCGUUAAUCUUUUGCUCGUCUUCAGCGAAAACUUUUUUGCAACAGUUUGUGUCGUCUGCUAUGCUCUACUCUUGCCAUUUGCUGAGACAGCACAGAUCGACCCCAAGAGAUGCCUUGUUUGGGGACCUGGACUGAAAGUACAUGUCAAUCUACCUGUUCGCUACUUCUACAUUCAAAUAGUUGACACGUCAGGAAAUAACAUCACAGAAUCAAUUGGAGAAAAUCCUUUCAAAGUCAGCAUACAUCAACGUGAUGACCAGGAGAGAGUUCGCAUGCGUGUGGAUGUUCUGGACCGCCAUGAUGGUGUUUAUAUUGUCAGGCUAAGAAGUUACGCUUCUUCACUAGAUACAGAUAUCCACAUUUGGUACAAUGGACAAGCAGUGGGAAAAUCACCAUAUCACUUACCAGAUCCUCAUUAUUUGACUGCAUCUGAACAAGAUGCUUCAGGAACCAUCUACCAGGAACAGUGCUACUGCCCCUGUCCCAGCCUGUCUUUUUGGUAUGAACAGCUGGAAUGUCCAGACCAUUAUCAGCAGAUUGAAGAUGACCUAUCUCCAUUUUCCAACAUUGACAUGGAUGUUGUGGCUCAAGAGAUUGUGACACGCUUUAGUGACCAGGGGCGACAUAGCUUAUGCCAUUACAAGAUCAUCAAUAAUAAGGUAUAUCGGAAAACCUAUGGGACCAUAAUAGAUUUCAAGAUAUUUGUGGAUGCUAUUCUUCUCUCAUUGGUGCGAAAGGUGAAGCUGGCAGAUGUGGAGUUUUUUGUCAACUUAGGUGACUGGCCUUUGGAAACACGUCAUCCAAAAGAUGGAGGAGUACCUAUUCUUUCAUGGUGUGGCUCAGACUCCACUUAUGACAUUGUUUUGCCAACAUAUGACAUUACAGAAGCCACGCUGGAAAUGCUGGGGAGAGUGUCCCUGGAUAUGCUGUCAGUACAAGCUAACACAGGCCCCACAUGGGAAAACAAAUCAAACGUUGCCUUUUGGCGAGGUCGUGACAGUUGUCGAGAGCGGCUGCAACUGGUGGAAAUGAGUAGGAAACAUCCAGACAUGAUUGAUGCUGCCCUGACCAACAUGUUCUUUUUCCCUAAGGAUGAAAACAAAUAUGGACAAAUUGUCAAACCUGUGUCGUUCUUUGACUUUUUCAAGAGCAAGUAUCAGAUUAACAUCGAUGGCACAGUUGCAGCUUAUAGAUUCCCAUACUUGAUUGCUGGGGAUUCUGUUGUUCUCAAGCAGGAGUCUGAGUACUAUGAGCACUUUUACAAACGCUUGCUGCCAUGGAAACACUAUAUUCCAUUCAAAAGAGACCUCAGUGAUCUUCUGCAGAAAAUAAAGUGGGCACAAAGUCAUGAUAGAGAGGCUCGCCAGAUUGCCAUAAAUGCUCAAGAAUUUGCUCGAGAAAAUCUUAUGCCUCCAGAGGUUUUCUGUUACCAUGCUAAGGUGUUGGAGGCACUUUCACAACGAUUGAAACAUAAACCACAGGGAACAGAGGGCUUUGAGCACAUAGAGCAGCCAACUCAUAGUCUAGAAUCUCAGUGUGUGUGUGAUAGAUCUGUACAGGACCAGUAUUUUAAGCUGCAAGGAAAAGAUGCAAAACAGGAACUUUGAAGAGAUCAUGAUGUGAUGGUCAUAUUUGCCUGCCUGCUAGGAUAUCAUACUGGGCUAUUAUGUUUGCUUAUACAGGAUCUAGUUUUAUUUUUUAUGCAAGACAUCUAGAAUUGGAAAUUUUACAGGAAAAAGUGUCACAUGGAUGAACUUUUUUGCCACUGUCAAAAAUGGUGUUCACUGCUAUUCUCUAUUUCUUUAAAAUUUUAAUUUCAUGUACAUAUUUGGAACAAACUGCUGAUGGUAGCUAUUGUUGAUGAUGCAAGAAACAUUGCAUGUGUCUUUGAAAUUCAAAGUAUAUUUUCACAAGCCUGUUGCUUCUUCCUCAAAAAGAAAUUAAGUUAAAACUAAAGCACAAAUUUCACAUGUACAUGCAUAAAUCUGGAUCUAAAAUACUAUGAUGCAUGAUUGCAUGAUGUGCUGUAUUGAAAGUAUCCAUUUUAGACCUCAAAAGCAAUGUGUAGAGAAACAUGCUUAUACAUUGCACAUCACGGUUUUACGUUGACUGCCUUCACUACGCAUAAUUAUAAACCAUAGCAUAGCUAUGCACCUCACAUAUAAGAGUACCUGAAUUUCUAAUGGAUAUAUAUAUAAAGUAUCUGCAAAUGAUGCGUACCCACUCUCAUUCAAGGUGUUGACUUGUUUACUGUUUUCUUUGGCAUGGUUUACCCUUAAUGCUGGUUUUUUUGUUAACAUAUUUCUUUGUUGCAAAUGAUGCAAUUUAUAUUCUUGAUAAGCUUGAUAUAACAUUUCUGAUAUAUUUAUUGACGUUGUAACACUAACAGGGCCCUGGCAACUUUGAUAAACGAUCAGUAUAUUGUUUUGUAAUGCCUAUAUGCCAUACAACUUGUGCCUUCAUUGUCUAUGUAGGUAUGAACAUAAUUCCUGGCAAUAUUGUGACAUUUUCAGUCUGUUUGGAUGCAAAGAUCUGUGUUUUUCAGUAAGUUAAUGUAAUAUGAAAUUUUCAGGGAGUUAAAGCAGAUGAAACACAUAUGUAGCUGCUGACUGUUCUUCCCAUUUUCAGUAUUGCUGUGAUAAUGCAUGUUGAAGCAUAAUUUAGGAUCUGAUCACGAACUAAUAUCCCUGGACUGCUGGCAGACGAUUUUCUUCCAGUUAACUGCUAAAACGGGGCAUGAUACAAGAAAGCUUCCGGUUUAUUCACAUUCUUUGUUACGGUUUGCCGAGACUAACAGCGGAUCACAAGAGGCUAAGCAUUGGUCUUGGCACACAGACAGCAAUCCACCUAUACACAUCCUUGACCUGAUGGAACACUGAUGAUUUGCCUUAAGUCUUUUGUACACAAGUAUCGUUUUCCUAUAUCAUCAGUACUCGGUAUAUUUUUAACAAAACUCUGGUACAUUGCUUUAAUACUCUGGGAUUGUAUUCAUGAAAUUUUACAGAGCUGGGUAAACUGGCUACCUGUAGGUGAACCCCCAAAAUAACUCCUUUUUGUUUAAUUAUGAUAUGAGCAUAAUGCCAGUCAAUUUACUUUAUGAUUACCUAAAUAUGUAAAUAUAUAAAAUCCACGUUCACUAGGUGCUGUAAUGGAAGUAUGCAAAAAUGAUUAUGGGUUUAAGCCACAACCCGAUGAUUGUUGUAACCUAUGUGAAAUACUUACUUUUGGCGUAUUUUUUCUGUUGAAUACUUAAGUUACAAAUAAAUAACCUUUUAAAAUGG
RNAcentral lists this unclassified non-coding RNA (3454 nucleotides) under Pomacea canaliculata. RNAcentral's name for it is "kDEL motif-containing protein 1-like, transcript variant X3". Lineage: Eukaryota; Metazoa; Mollusca; Gastropoda; Architaenioglossa; Ampullariidae. The record is from RNAcentral.